AUCGCUUCUCGGCCUUUUGGCUAAGAUCAAGUGUAGUACCUGUUUUUAUCAGUUUAAUAUCUGAUACGUCCUCUAUCCGAGGACAAUAUAUUAAAUGGAUUUUUGGAGCAGGGAGAUGGAAUAGGAGCUUGCUCCGUCCACUCCACGCAUCGACCUGGUAUUGCAGUACCUCCAGGAACGGUGCACCCCCU
This 191-nucleotide small nuclear RNA is filed under the name Macaca fascicularis (crab-eating macaque). RNAcentral's name for it is "U2 spliceosomal RNA (ENSMFAG00000064702.1)". It matches the Rfam family "U2 spliceosomal RNA". From Rfam's summary of the family: U2 is a small nuclear RNA (snRNA) component of the spliceosome (involved in pre-mRNA splicing). Complementary binding between U2 snRNA (in an area lying towards the 5' end but 3' to hairpin I) and the branchpoint sequence (BPS) of the intron results the bulging out of an unpaired adenosine, on the BPS, which initiates a nucleophilic attack at the intronic 5' splice site, thus starting the first of two transesterification reactions that mediate splicing. Lineage: Eukaryota; Metazoa; Chordata; Mammalia; Primates; Cercopithecidae. The record is from Rfam by way of RNAcentral.